GUCUUUCUGAAUCCGCCGCAAGGCAAAACAAAUGAAUCAAAACUUUCAACAACGGAUCUCUUGGUUCUGGCAUCGAUGAAGAACGCAGCGAAAUGCGAUAAGUAAUGUGAAUUGCAGAAUUCAGUGAAUCAUCGAAUCUUUGAACGCACAUUGCGCC
Molecule: ribosomal RNA, 157 nt
Filed under: Cordyceps javanica
Lineage: Eukaryota; Fungi; Ascomycota; Sordariomycetes; Hypocreales; Cordycipitaceae
Description: 5.8S ribosomal RNA
Rfam family: 5.8S ribosomal RNA (bases 41-157)
About the family: 5.8S ribosomal RNA (5.8S rRNA) is a component of the large subunit of the eukaryotic ribosome.
Source: RNAcentral